RNAcentral lists this long non-coding RNA (204 nucleotides) under Elaeis guineensis (African oil palm). RNAcentral describes it as "long non-coding RNA (EGUI_LNC067108)". The record is from RNAcentral. Lineage: Eukaryota; Viridiplantae; Streptophyta; Magnoliopsida; Arecales; Arecaceae.
AGUUGUGUCACCCUCCUUUCUGAGUCCUUUAGAUAUGAUUUAUGUUUGGUUCAAAAAGGAGUUCAAAUCUGAUUUGAAUCCAUGAUAAGAUCAAAGCUUGUUUGAAGUUGAACCAAACUAUCCAAACUCUUCAUGGGACACCACUUUAAGAAGGGCUAAUUUUUUGUACACCAAUUAAGAUCAGAUUUGGCAUGAGAGAACCAC